CACACAUUCAAUGCAUCCCAUACAUACACAGAAACACACCUUGCAGCCCUUACACAUACAAACACAAUUUCACACAAUGCAUUCCUUACACACAUAUCAGGACAUCCCCUACACACUCCACCACCUGUGAACAAACUCAUUGGUGGAACAUGAAGGUGGACCCUGGGACCCAGACAUUGAGCUGUGUAAAGGACCCCCAAAAAAUGGAGCUGCUUCCCGUUCUCCCAGAACAUUGAUUUUUGUGACCACAGUUACAAACCGCCUCCAGAGAGCCUGUUCUGCACCAGACCAGUGGAGCCAGACUGCAGCUAGAGCCCAU
Pelobates cultripes (western spadefoot toad) is the source of this 319-nucleotide non-coding RNA. NCBI's taxonomy places the organism in Eukaryota, Metazoa, Chordata, Amphibia, Anura, Pelobatidae. The record is from the annotation of a GenBank genome assembly.